RNAcentral lists this ribosomal RNA (797 nucleotides) under uncultured Actinomycetes bacterium. RNAcentral describes it as "bacterial SSU rRNA". It matches the Rfam family "Bacterial small subunit ribosomal RNA", at positions 74 to 891 of the family's 1533-position model. The record is from RNAcentral. Lineage: Bacteria; Bacillati; Actinomycetota; Actinomycetes.
CUUGCUGCGGGUACUCGAGUGGCGAACGGGUGAGUAACACGUGGGUGAUCUGCCUUGCACUUCGGGAUAAGCUUGGGAAACUGGGUCUAAUACCGGAUAGGACAGCUGUUUAGUGUCAGUUGUGGAAAGUUUUUUCGGUGCAAGAUGAGCUCGCGGCCUAUCAGCUUGUUGGUGGGGUAAUGGCCUACCAAGGCGUCGACGGGUAGCCGGCCUGAGAGGGUGUACGGCCACAUUGGGACUGAGAUACGGCCCAGACUCCUACGGGAGGCAGCAGUGGGGAAUAUUGCACAAUGGGCGGAAGCCUGAUGCAGCGACGCCGCGUGGGGGAUGAAGGCCUUCGGGUUGUAAACUCCUUUCGACAGGGACGAAGCGUAAGUGACGGUACCUGUAUAAGAAGCACCGGCUAACUACGUGCCAGCAGCCGCGGUAAUACGUAGGGUGCGAGCGUUGUCCGGAAUUACUGGGCGUAAAGAGCUCGUAGGUGGUUUGUCGCGUCGUCUGUGAAAUUCCGGGGCUUAACUCCGGGCGUGCAGGCGAUACGGGCUGACUUGAGUGCUGUAGGGGAGACUGGAAUUCCUGGUGUAGCGGUGAAAUGCGCAGAUAUCAGGAGGAACACCGAUGGCGAAGGCAGGUCUCUGGGCAGUAACUGACGCUGAGGAGCGAAAGCAUGGGUAGCGAACAGGAUUAGAUACCUGGUAGUCCAUGCCGUAAACGGUGGGCGCUAGGUGUAGGGGGCUUCCACGUCUUCUGUGCCGUAGCUAACGCAUUAAGCGCCCCGCCUGGGGAGUACGCCGCAA